RNAcentral lists this unclassified non-coding RNA (230 nucleotides) under plant metagenome. Its description in RNAcentral is "partial contains small subunit ribosomal RNA and internal transcribed spacer 1". The stretch from base 1 to 47 matches the Rfam family "Eukaryotic small subunit ribosomal RNA", at positions 1785 to 1831 of the family's 1831-position model. The record is from RNAcentral.
AAUGUCGUAACAAGGUUUCCGUAGGUGAACCUGCGGAAGGAUCAUUAAUGAGUUAGGGUCUCCGGGCCCGACCUCCAACCCUUUUGUUGUCACAAAAUCCAAUUGUUGCUUUGGCGUGGACCGCCCGCGAGGGCUGCCGGUCUUAGGCCCGGCAUGCGCCCGCCAGAGGAAAAUCCAAACUCUUGUUUAUUAACCAAGUCUCUCUGUAAAACUGAUUAAUCAAUCAAAAU